AGUGAACGCUGGCGGCGUGCUUAACACAUGCAAGUCGAACGAGAACGGAUUAUAGCUUGCUAUAAUCGUCAGCUAAGUGGCGCACGGGUGAGUAAUGUAUAGGUAAUAUGCCUCUUACUAAGGGAUAACAAAUGGAAACGUUUGCUAAUACCUUAUACUCCUUAUUAACAGAAGUUAAUAAGGGAAAGAUUUAUUGGUAAGAGAUUAGCCUGUAUUGUAUCAGUUAGUUGGUGGGGUAAUGGCUUACCAAGACUAUGACACAUAACUGGUUUGAGAGGAUGAUCAGUCACUCUGGAACUGAGACACGGUCCAGACUCCUACGGGAGGCAGCAGUGGGGAAUAUUGCACAAUGGACGAAAGUCUGAUGCAGCAACGCCGCGUGGAGGAUGACACAUUUCGGUGCGUAAACUCCUUUUAUAUGAGAAGAUAAUGACGGUAUUAUAUGAAUAAGCACCGGCUAACUCCGUGCCAGCCGCCGCUGUAA
RNAcentral lists this ribosomal RNA (484 nucleotides) under uncultured bacterium. RNAcentral's name for it is "partial 16S ribosomal RNA". It matches the Rfam family "Bacterial small subunit ribosomal RNA", at positions 29 to 523 of the family's 1533-position model. The record is from RNAcentral.